Molecule: non-coding RNA, 104 nt
Filed under: bovine gut metagenome
Description: Glycine riboswitch
Rfam family: Glycine riboswitch aptamer
About the family: This family represents the bacterial glycine riboswitch.
Source: RNAcentral
ACGAUUCUCUGGAGAGUCUCUACGGAGCGCCGAAGGUGUACGCUGUGAUCCGGUUCCGAACCGGACCGGACGCGGUAAUCUCUCAGGCAAAAGGACAGAGUGAG